GGUCUGGUGUGAUGUAAUGGUUAGAAUGCCAGACAAGGACCCAGGAGACUCAGGGUUCAAAUCCCUGCUCAGCCA
Non-coding RNA from Podarcis lilfordi (Lilford's wall lizard), 75 nucleotides. NCBI's taxonomy places the organism in Eukaryota, Metazoa, Chordata, Lepidosauria, Squamata, Lacertidae. The record is from the annotation of a GenBank genome assembly.